GAGGGUAUAGCUCAAUGGUAGAGUACAUGGCUAGUAUGCAUGAGGUACUGGGUUCAAUCCCCAGUACCUCCA
Molecule: transfer RNA, 72 nt
Filed under: Camelus bactrianus (Bactrian camel)
Lineage: Eukaryota; Metazoa; Chordata; Mammalia; Artiodactyla; Camelidae
Also listed under: 1 other name
Rfam family: tRNA
About the family: Transfer RNA (tRNA) molecules are approximately 80 nucleotides in length. Their secondary structure includes four short double-helical elements and three loops (D, anti-codon, and T loops).
Source: Rfam by way of RNAcentral